This 377-nucleotide long non-coding RNA is filed under the name Mytilus galloprovincialis (Mediterranean mussel). The record is from RNAcentral. Lineage: Eukaryota; Metazoa; Mollusca; Bivalvia; Mytilida; Mytilidae.
UAUUACCUUUCUACAUUUGAAAUGUCACUCUUUUAAAUAAAACAAAAUGUUUUGAAAUGUAAUAGUAGGUUUAUUAUAUACUAAUCUUUAACUGUUCUCUCAUCAAACUAACAAUAACAUUGAUGUUUUUGUUGUAUUACCCCCUCAGCGAUAGUUAAACCUGCUCAUUAGAAUUGACACAAGGGGGAGACAAUCAUCUCAUGUAGAAUUGAUAUAAGGGGAGGCAAUCCUCUCAUGUAGAAUUGACACAAGGGGGAGACAAUCCUCAUGUAGAAUUGAAAUAAGGGGAGACAAUCCUGUUUUGUAGACUUGAUUAAAGGGGAUGUAAUCCUCCUUGUUAUGAAACCAUUUUCAACUGUGAUAUGUAAUAAAACAGC